ACCGGGCCUUUUGCCUUCCCGGCUCUGGGCUCCUUCCUGCGGGCUCGACGGCCGCCGGAGACCCGCGGGGGCAGCAGGGAACCGCUCUAGGAGGGGGCAAUCACGCUUUGUUAGCCCCCGUCCCUUUCCUCCCUCCCAUCCCGCUCCGGUAUCUGGCUGCCCCCCUCGCUUAUAGAAGCGCACAAGUUCACAAGGAGCUACUCUCCUCUACUUGUCUGGCGAGACAUCGCUGCUAAACUUCAGCCCCAUCAGCUGUGCUACUGCGACUCCAGCCAAGCAAGCUGCGUGCCGGCUUGCUUGUUUGCCUCCCCCUUUUUU
Pezoporus flaviventris is the source of this 318-nucleotide long non-coding RNA. RefSeq lists it as uncharacterized. The transcript is spliced from 2 exons. The record is from RefSeq and is a predicted model, not a curated record. NCBI's taxonomy places the organism in Eukaryota, Metazoa, Chordata, Aves, Psittaciformes, Psittacidae.